Molecule: ribosomal RNA, 253 nt
Filed under: uncultured bacterium
Lineage: Bacteria
Description: partial 16S ribosomal RNA
Rfam family: Bacterial small subunit ribosomal RNA
Source: RNAcentral
UACGGAGGGUGCGAGCGUUGUCCGGAAUCACUGGGCGUAAAGGGCUCGUAGGUGGCCAACUAAGUCAGACGUGAAAUCCCUCGGCUUAACCGGGGAACUGCGUCUGAUACUGGAUGGCUUGAGUUUGGGAGAGGGACGCGGAAUUCCAGGUGUAGCGGUGAAAUGCGUAGAUAUCUGGAGGAACACCGGUGGCGAAGGCGGCGUCCUGGACCAACACUGACACUGAGGAGCGAAAGCCAGGGGAGCAAACGGG